AGCUUUGCGCAGUGGCGGUAUCGUAGCCAAUGAGGUUUAUCCGAGGCGCGAUUAUUGCUAAUUGAAAACUUUUCCUAAUAGAAUGCCUUCCUGCAAGCCUUCCUGGGACAGUGCUGUUUAUCUGCUGAUGGCUUUCCUCAUUGCAGAAGGCAAUGAAGAGGUUGUGUUUU
Erinaceus europaeus (western European hedgehog) is the source of this 170-nucleotide small nuclear RNA. Its record names the gene U4. It matches the Rfam family "U4 spliceosomal RNA". Rfam says of the family: U4 small nuclear RNA (U4 snRNA) is a component of the major U2-dependent spliceosome. The structure of U4 snRNA from yeast and human has been reported. NCBI's taxonomy places the organism in Eukaryota, Metazoa, Chordata, Mammalia, Eulipotyphla, Erinaceidae. The record is from Ensembl.